Molecule: long non-coding RNA, 562 nt
Filed under: Fukomys damarensis (Damara mole-rat)
Lineage: Eukaryota; Metazoa; Chordata; Mammalia; Rodentia; Bathyergidae
Description: lncRNA (ENSFDAG00000030290.1)
Source: RNAcentral
GCUCCUCUCAAAAACCUCUAAAGUCCUUACUCCAUUUGCCACAGUGCCUAAAGCACACAAUCAAAAAACUAACAUGUGUCCAAUAACAAGGUGCCAAAUAUCCCGACUCCACCCUGGCUCCACCCCUGCCUUACCCUAUAUAACCUGUGCAUUUCCUGAGUAAAGCAGAAGUGUUCCAGAAACUUCCCCAGAGUCUGUCUGGUGAUUCCGCACCUUGCCCUCCCAGUCCGGGCCCCCUGAACCUUGUUCCACUAGCGGGCUGGUGGAUGAAAACAAUUGGUGUCCGAACAGGAGACUCGCGUAUACUGGGUAAAUGUUGAAGUUUCAGUAAGAAAGAUUUUGAAAUUUUUGCCCCUAUUGGUGUCAUCGUGGCAGUUAUUUCCACCACAACAGCAACAGUCACCUCACAAAAGCAAGUGGCGACAGCAGAAACGGUCAACCAGCAAACAAAAAACAUCACCCACGCCUUCAAAAAGACUGUCCUGCUAUGUCAAGAUGUCCACACAGCAGUACUCAAUUCACAAAUCCAAUUAAACUUGGUUUGGGAGGAAUUAACACCCAG